Capsicum annuum is the source of this 3858-nucleotide RNA transcript. RefSeq lists it as uncharacterized. The transcript is spliced from 12 exons. The record is from RefSeq and is a predicted model, not a curated record. NCBI's taxonomy places the organism in Eukaryota, Viridiplantae, Streptophyta, Magnoliopsida, Solanales, Solanaceae.
ACAGUCAAAUCCUACUUUAAUAAUCUACACUUGUUUAGUCCCUUUGCUUCUUCAAGAAUCUAGGGUUUCUCUUCUCCACCGACGAGAAGCCUCCUUUUCCCCUUUUUCCUUCACAAUUCUCCCCCAAAUUCUCUCUAUAUAACUUGGUUUUCCCGUUCUUGAUAAAUAAUUAACGUUUUUCUAUAUGGGUGAAAGCGAUUCAGAAAGUCCUGAAAGGGUCAAAGCCAAGAAUGUAUCUGAAAAAUCUGAAAAUUCUGAUGAAUUAAAGGGUUCAGAGGGUAAUUCAAGCAAGAUGGUUUCUGGGUUUGAUUCAGUUUUUGAUAUUUCUGGAAAAAGUUUGGAUUUUCCAUUGUUAGAAGGUGUAGAAAGUGAUGUUGAAGGUUUGUACAUGUACAAGAAUGUAUUUAAUUUAAUUCCUAAGGCAAUUGGUGCACUUGGGAAGGUUAAGGUACUUAAGUUUUUUGGGAAUGAGGUUAAUUUGUUUCCAAUUGAAGAGUUGAGGAAGUUGGUGGAACUUGAGAGUUUGCAAGUGAAAGUGUCUUUGCCUGGUAUGAGUGGAUUGGAUUUGGAGAAGUUGAAGAAUUUGAAAGAAUUGGAGCUUUGUAAAGUUCCUCCUAGGCCUUCUGCUUUUCCAAUUUUGAGAGAUAUUGCUGGUUUAAAGAGGCUGACUAAGUUGUCUGUUUGUCAUUUUUCUAUCAGAUACCUGCCUCCAGAAAUUGCCUGUCUCACUAAUUUGGAGUGCCUGGAUCUUUCAUUCAAUAAGAUGAGGAAUUUACCUGUUGAGAUAACUCAUCUUACCUCCUUACUGUCACUGAAGGUUGCUAAUAAUAAAUUGAUUGAAGUACCUCCGGAUUUGUCUUCUCUGCAAAGAUUAGUGAGUUUGGACUUUUCUAACAAUAGAUUAACAUCCUUGGAGAAUCUUGAUCUCCUAUCAAUGUAUAAUUUGCAGAGACUCAAUCUUCGGGACAAUAAACUUCUUAGGUGUUGUUCCAUUCCAUCGUGGGUAUGCUGCAAUUUGGAGGGGAAUUUCAUAGAUUUGUCCAAGGAUGACUUCACCAGUUCAUCUUCUGAAAUGGACGUGCUUGAAGGUUAUGAUCAGGAGGAAACAUGUGAGAAUUCCCAAAAUGGAGCUUCUAUUGUAUUGUCAGGUCAUUCAACCAAUCAUCGAUGUUUUCGGCCUCGAAAAUCAAAGAAAUGGAAGCGGCAGUAUUAUUUGCAGCAGAGGGCUCGUCAAGAGAGAUUAAAUAACAGCAGGAGAUGUGUUGCCUGCAAACAUUCUGAGCUAAUUGACGAUUCUCUGUUGGAAGGUUCAUCAAGCAUAGUGGAUGCCGAUACAAAUGAUAAAGAACUGUUUACCGAAGAAGCUGAGUGCAAAGACUCUCUAGCUAGUGUUGCUGAUGAACAUAUCAGAUCAAAGGAGGACCAUUGUGUAGAAAGAUCUUCAUGUGUUGGUUCUGACUCCAUUGAAGCAUGCAUAGAUAUUCAGAAUUGUAAAAAAUGUGAUGCUUCAGUAGUUUCUCUUUCUGACGCUGCUGAUUUGGUCGAGGGAAGCUCGUCUUCUGAGGUGUCUAAUAAUCCUCCAAAAUCGAAAAGGCACCUCGAUGGGGUAAUUGAUAAUCCAAAACCAUGCAAAACCCGCAGACCAACGGACCAUUCAGAGGUAUCCUGCAAAUACAACAUGAUGUCUUUCUGUGGUAUUGAUGAUUACUUACCAGAUGGCUUUUAUGACGCUGGACGAGAUCGGCCAUUUAUGUCGCUUAGGAGUUAUGAGCAGAAAUUGCAUCUGGAUUCACGGGAAGUCAUUCUAAUUGACAGGCAAAGAGAUGAAAUGCUGGAUGCCAUUGCCCGACGUGCUCAAGCUCUGAUCUUUCAUUUUAAUCAGACAGAUGGUCUGUUUAAAGAUAGAGAACAUGCUGCUGCAGACAACUUGCAGGUCGCAUCACUGCUUGCGCUUUUAGUGUCGGAUCAUUUUGGUGGAAGUGACAGAAGUAGUAUUUUACAGAGUGCAAGGAAAGAAGUAUCUGGGUCAAACUAUAACAAGCCUUUUAUCUGCACAUGCCCUACAGGAAAUGAUGACACUACCAGCAUGAUCACAAAAGACAGUCCUAGCUUCUUAGGAGAUAUACUUUUCCUUGAUCUUUGUGAGAAAGCACUUCGCUCCAUAAAAUCAAGGCAAAAUUCUAUUGUUGUUCCUAUUGGGAGUUUGCAGUUGGGUGUAUGUAGGCAUAGGGCCUUGCUUAUGAAGUACCUGUGUGACCGAAUAGAACCUCGAAUAUCUUGUGAGCUUGUCAGGGGUUAUUUGGAUUUUUCGCCGCACGCGUGGAAUGUGAUUGUGGUAAAGAGGGGUGAAUCAUGGGUUCGGAUGAUAGUUGAUGCAUGCCAUCCCCUUGAUAUCCGAGAAGAGACAGAUCCAGAGUACUUUUGCAGGUAUGUCCCACUGAGCCGGAUUAAUGUACCUGUUGUGCCAGAUGGUAGUCCUGUUCAAGUUAGUUCUUUUCCUACUCUAUCCAGUUCGGAUAAAAUUCAUAAAGCUCCUUCCUCAACCCUUAUACAGUGUGAAUUGGGAUCGCAUGAGACUCUGGCAAAGGUGCGAACUUUAGAGGUAUCCAAGUCCUCGCCGGAUGAGAUUAAGAAUUUUGAGUUUAGCUGCAUUGGAGAAGUUAGGAUGUUGGGUGUCUUAAACAGUUCGUGCAUUGUCAAAUAUUAUGGCCAUCAGAUAUCUUCAAGAUGGGUUCCUUCAUCAGAUGGUAGUUCAGAAAGUCGUACUUUGCAGUCUGCCAUUUUGAUGGAGCACAUUAAAGGGGGUUCACUGAAGAAAUAUGUAGAUAAGCUAUCUAAUGCUGGUGAGAAGCGUCUGCCCAUUGAGCUGUCGGUAUUUAUUGCCCGAGAUGUAGCAAGCGCGUUGACAGAGCUGCAUUCUAGGCAUAUCAUACAUCGUGAUAUAAAAAGUGAAAACAUCCUGAUAGAUCUGGAUAAGAAGAGAGCUGAUGGUACCCCUACAGUAAAGCUAUGUGACUUUGAUAUGGCGAUUCCCCUUCGUUCAUACUUACAUACUUGCUGCAUUGGCCAUAUUGGAAUUCCUCCACCGGAUGUAUGUGUUGGUACACCUCGUUGGAUGGCUCCUGAAGUCUUUCGGGCAAUGAAUGAGCGCAACGUCUAUGGGUUGAGAGUCUGUCCUUUCCUGAAGAAUUAUGUACACUGUAUCUGAAAUGAGCUUAAAUGAACGUGGGGGUUUAUAUAGCCGACCAGGCUUGUUUGGGUUUCAGUGUAGUUGUUGUUUGCUUUGGGAAUGACAUCUGAAGUCUCCAAUCCUUGAAGGGUGCUGAUAUUUGGUCCUUCGGGUGUGUCCUGCUGGAAUUGUUAACGCUGCAACUUCCGUACUCAGAGUCAUCUGAGUUAGAUAGCCACAAUUCUCUUCAGGCGGGUAAACGGCCAGAACUACCCAAAGAACUGGAGGCAAUGACUGCAUCCAAAGAAGAACUAGAGGAUCUAGCAAAGUCUUGUUCUGGCUCGGACUCUGACAAUAAACUAUCUGAAUCUGGUAUCCUGAGAUUUCUUGUUUCAAUUUAUCACUGGUGUACUGAGAAGGAUCCAGACGACCGUCCCACAGCAGAGAACCUCUACCACCUCUUGCUUACCUGUGCUAAUUCCCUCCCUUCACAAAGUCAUGAAGAUUCGUGAUCUUCAAAAUUUUGUAGCCUUAGGAUGUUGUAGAUUAGCAUUAGAUUAUUGAGCAGGAGUUAAAAGGACCCAAUAUUUGGGUCUGUUGACCCUCCUCAGUGAGCAAAUGUACCUUGUUCUUUACCUCAUUUCAAUUGAAAACGAUAGGGACGCGUAUUCGUGUCCAAAGGACAUGUA